GAUGAAGAACGCAGCGAAAUGCGAUAAGUAGUGUGAAUUGCAGAAUUCAGUGAAUCAUCGAAUCUUUGAACGCACAUUGCGCCCCUUGGUAUUCCAUGGGGCAUGUCUGUUCGAGCGUCAUCUACAACCCUCAAGCCCUGCUUGGUGUUGGGCGUCUGUCCCGCCCCCGCGCGCGGACUCGCCCCAAAUCCAUUGGCGGCGGCCCUUGCCUCCCUCUCGCGCAGCACAUUGCGCUUCUCGAGGCGUCGCGGGCCGCGCUCCACGAAGCACGCAAACCAGUCUUUGACCUCGGAUCAGGUAGGGAUACCCGCUGAACUUAAGCAUAUCAAUAAGCGGAGGA
Molecule: unclassified non-coding RNA, 340 nt
Filed under: soil metagenome
Description: partial contains 5.8S ribosomal RNA, internal transcribed spacer 2, and large subunit ribosomal RNA
Rfam family: 5.8S ribosomal RNA (bases 1-120)
Source: RNAcentral